GGGGCCCUCCAAAAAAUCAAGACUACUUGGAGAGAUGCAGCUGCCUAUGCACCUCCAACAGAUGUUUCGAUCUGAAAACUGGACGGUCCUGCUCUCCAUGUAAAGAUCACAAGUCUCACCUGGCAGAGACUGUAAACUGUGGAGAGAUAAAUAUAAAAAUCCCAGAAUAUGAAGAACUAAUUCUGGACUGUACUUUUG
This is a long non-coding RNA of Bufo gargarizans (Asiatic toad), 198 nucleotides long. RefSeq lists it as uncharacterized. Lineage: Eukaryota; Metazoa; Chordata; Amphibia; Anura; Bufonidae. The transcript has 4 exons. The record is from RefSeq and is a predicted model, not a curated record.